This 253-nucleotide ribosomal RNA is filed under the name uncultured bacterium. RNAcentral describes it as "partial 16S ribosomal RNA". It matches the Rfam family "Bacterial small subunit ribosomal RNA", at positions 524 to 776 of the family's 1533-position model. The record is from RNAcentral.
AACGUAGGUGGCGAGCGUUAUCCGGAUUUACUGGGCGUAAAGGGUGUGCAGGCUGCCCCUCAAGUGGUGUAUGAAAGGGCUCGGCUCAACCGGGCUAGGUUAUGCCAGACUGAGGGGCUAGAGAGCGAGAGCGAGACGUGGAAUUCCGGGUGUAGUGGUGAAAUGCGUAGAGAUCCGGAGGAACCCCAGAGGCGAAGGCGGCGUCCUGGCUCGCAUCUGACGCUCAGACACGACAGCAUGGGGAGCGAACGGG